UGGCGGGGUAACGGCCCACCAAGGCGACGAUCAGUAGGGGUUCUGAGAGGAAGGUCCCCCACAUUGGAACUGAGACACGGUCCAAACUCCUACGGGAGGCAGCAGUGAGGAAUAUUGGUCAAUGGACGAGAGUCUGAACCAGCCAAGUAGCGUGCAGGAAGACGGCCUAUGGGUUGUAAACUGCUUUUAUAAGGGAAUAUGUACCUUAUGAAUAAGGACCGGCUAAUUCCGUGCCAGCAGCCGCGGUAAUACGGAAGGUCCGGGCGUUAUCCGGAUUUAUUGGGUUUAAAGGGAGCGUAGGCCGGAGAUUAAGCGUGUUGUGAAAUGUAGACGCUCAACGUCUGCACUGCAGCGCGAACUGGUUUCCUUGAGUACGCACAAAGUGGGCGGAAUUCGUGGUGUAGCGGUGAAAUGCUUAGAUAUCACGAAGAACUCCGAUUGCGAAGGCAGCUCACUGGAGCGCAACUGACGCUGAAGCUCGAAAGUGCGGGUAUCGAACAGGAUUAGAUACCCUGGUAGUCCGCACGGUAAACGAUGGAUGCCCGCUUUGGUAGCGGCCAAGCGAAAGCAUUAAGCAUCCCACCUGGGGAGUACGCCGGCAACGGUGAAACUCAAAUGAAUUGACGGAAG
This 630-nucleotide ribosomal RNA is filed under the name uncultured bacterium. Its description in RNAcentral is "bacterial SSU rRNA". It matches the Rfam family "Bacterial small subunit ribosomal RNA", at positions 250 to 919 of the family's 1533-position model. The record is from RNAcentral.